This 497-nucleotide long non-coding RNA is filed under the name Phaseolus vulgaris (common bean). RNAcentral describes it as "long non-coding RNA (PVUL_LNC004078)". Lineage: Eukaryota; Viridiplantae; Streptophyta; Magnoliopsida; Fabales; Fabaceae. The record is from RNAcentral.
UUAGUCUUGUGAUGGUUGCGAGUCGUGAAAGGUAUGGUCUUUUGGUGUAGGUAAUCAAGACUAAAAUCAGAAUGGAAGGACUAUGCUUUACUGUAGCCUGCCCGCCAACAAAGCUUUACGAGGGAGUGGAAUGGAGUUAUUGGAAGCAAGCAUCACUCAUAGUUGAAAGAAGGGAGGAAGCAUUUAAACACUUUGUUGUUAGCUUGCUAAAUUUCUAACAGCUAACCUUACAUCAUAUGCUAGGAGUUUUUUUGUUAAGCUUCAAAUGUUGCAGGUUAUUUUGGAAGCAGGCAAAAGUGUUAAGAGACCAAGGAUGUAAAAGGACAUCAGAGAUAGAGUCUCACUUAGUCAUUAUGUUUGUAUCUUUUAAGUUUUGUGUUCAGCUGGUUUUUUGUAGAACCAAUUCUGUUAUGGGUAGGGACUGUUUUCUGAAAGAUAAGGUUCUUUGUGUAAGAGUGUUGUUAUGGGUAGGGGCGGCUAUAAAGCUUAUGCUCUUG